RNAcentral lists this ribosomal RNA (2488 nucleotides) under freshwater metagenome. RNAcentral's name for it is "bacterial LSU rRNA". It matches the Rfam family "Bacterial large subunit ribosomal RNA", at positions 14 to 2539 of the family's 2925-position model. The record is from RNAcentral.
AGUGCAUGUGGUGGAUGCCUUGGCAGUCAGAGGCGAAGAAAGACGUGAUAGCCUGCGAAAAGCUUCGGGGAGGCGGCAAAUAUCCUGUGAUCCGGAGAUGUCUGAAUGGGGAAACCCACCUACCAUAAGGUAGGUAUUGCAUGAUGAAUACAUAGUCAUGCAAGGCGAACGAGGGGAAGUGAAACAUCUCAGUACCCUUAGGAAAAGAAAUCAAUUGAGAUUCCGUCAGUAGCGGCGAGCGAACGCGGAUCAGCCCAUUAAGUUAUCUAAGUUUUAGUGGAAUGCUCUGGGAAGUGCAACCAUAGCGGGUGAUAGUCCUGUACACGAAAGGGCUUAGAUAAUGAUGUCGAGUAAGGCGAGGCACGUGAAACCUUGUCUGAAUAUGGGGGGACCAUCCUCCAAGGCUAAAUACUCCUGACUGACCGAUAGUGAACCAGUACCGUGAGGGAAAGGCGAAAAGAACCCCUGUGAGGGGAGUGAAAUAGAUCCUGAAACCGCAUGCAUACAAGCAGUGGGAGCCGACUUGUUCGGUGACUGCGUACCUUUUGUAUAAUGGGUCAGCGACUUAUAUUCAGUAGCGAGGUUAACCGUUUAGGGGAGCCGUAGGGAAACCGAGUCUUAAUAGGGCGUAUAGUUGCUGGGUAUAGACCCGAAACCAGGCGAUCUAUCCAUGAGCAGGUUGAAGGUUGGGUAACACUAACUGGAGGACCGAACCCACUGUCGUUGAAAAGCCAGGGGAUGACUUGUGGAUAGGGGUGAAAGGCUAAUCAAGCCUGGUGAUAGCUGGUUCUCCCCGAAAGCUAUUUAGGUAGCGCCUCGGACGAAUACCAUAGGGGGUAGAGCACUGUUUCGGCUAGGGGGUCAUCCCGACUUACCAAACCGAUGCAAACUCCGAAUACCUAUGAGUACUAUCCGGGAGACAGACUGCGGGUGCUAACGUCCGUAGUCAAGAGGAAAACAAUCCAGACCGCCAGCUAAGGCCCCAAAAUCAUAGUUAAGUGGGAAACGAUGUGGGAAGGCAUAGACAGCUAGGAGGUUGGCUUAGAAGCAGCCACCCUUUAAAGAAAGCGUAAUAGCUCACUAGUCGAGUCGGCCUGCGCGGAAGAUGUAACGGGGCUAAAACUAUGUGCCGAAGCUGCGGAUUUGACAUUAGUCAAGUGGUAGGGGAGCGUUCUGUAAGCCGAUGAAGGUGGAUUGAGAAGUCUGCUGGAGGUAUCAGAAGUGCGAAUGCUGACGUGAGUAACGACAAAACGGGUGAAAAACCCGUUCGCUGAAAGACCAAGGGUUCCAGUCCAACGUUAAUCGGGGCUGGGUGAGUCGACCCCUAAGGCGAGGCCGAGAGGCGUAGUCGAUGGGAAAUUGGUUAAUAUUCCAAUACUUCUGUGUAAUGCGAUGAGAGGACGGAGAAGGUUAAGUCAGCCUGGCGUUGGUUGUCCAGGUGGAAGGUUGUAGGCAUGUAUCUUAGGCAAAUCCGGGGUACUCUAUGCUGAGAACUGAUAGCAAGCUGUACUUGUACAGUGAAGUGGCUGAUACCAUGCUUCCAGGAAAAGUCUCUAAGCUCCAGUUACACAGGAAUCGUACCCGAAACCGACACAGGUGGUCAGGUCGAGUAGACCAAAGCGCUUGAGAGAACUCUGCUGAAGGAACUAGGCAAAAUGGUACCGUAACUUCGGGAGAAGGUACGCUGCUGACGGUGAUGGGACUUGCUCCCUGAGCUAUUGGCAGCCACAGAAACCAGGCCGCUGCAACUGUUUAUUAAAAACAUAGCACUCUGCAAACACGAAAGUGGACGUAUAGGGUGUGAUGCCUGCCCGGUGCUGGAAGGUUAAUUGAUGGGGUUAGCGUAAGCGAAGCUCUUGAUCGAAGCCCCAGUAAACGGCGGCCGUAACUAUAACGGUCCUAAGGUAGCGAAAUUCCUUGUCGGGUAAGUUCCGACCUGCACGAAUGGCAUAAUGAUGGCGGCGCUGUCUCCAGCAGAGGCUCAGUGAAAUCGAAAUCGCUGUGAAGAUGCAGUGUACCCGCGGCUAGACGGAAAGACCCCGUGAACCUUUACUGCAGCUUGACAUUGAACUUUGACCUUACUUGUGUAGGAUAGGUGGGAGGCUUUGAAGUUGGAACGCCAGUUCCAAUGGAGCCGUCCUUGAAAUACCACCCUGGUAAUGUUGAGGUUCUAACUCUGUCCCGUUAUCCGGGACGAGGACCAUGUCUGGUGGGUAGUUUGACUGGGGCGGUCUCCUCCUAAAGAGUAACGGAGGAGUACGAAGGUGCGCUCAGCGUGGUCGGAAAUCACGCGUAGAGUAUAAAGGCAAAAGCGCGCUUAACUGCGAGACCCACAAGUCGAGCAGGUACGAAAGUAGGUCUUAGUGAUCCGGUGGUUCUGUAUGGAAGGGCCAUCGCUCAACGGAUAAAAGGUACUCUGGGGAUAACAGGCUGAUACCGCCCAAGAGUUCAUAUCGACGGCGGUGUUUGGCACCUCGAUGUCGGCUCA